RNAcentral lists this transfer RNA (90 nucleotides) under Bacillota bacterium. RNAcentral's name for it is "Firmicutes bacterium (anaerobic digester metagenome) tRNA-Ser". It matches the Rfam family "tRNA". Rfam says of the family: Transfer RNA (tRNA) molecules are approximately 80 nucleotides in length. Their secondary structure includes four short double-helical elements and three loops (D, anti-codon, and T loops). Lineage: Bacteria; Bacillati; Bacillota. The record is from RNAcentral.
GGAGAGAUGGGUGAGUGGUUGAAACCGCCGCUCUCGAAAAGCGGUAGGCGGGCAACUGCCUCGUGGGUUCGAAUCCCACUCUCUCCGCCA